RNAcentral lists this ribosomal RNA (497 nucleotides) under uncultured bacterium. RNAcentral's name for it is "partial 16S ribosomal RNA". It matches the Rfam family "Bacterial small subunit ribosomal RNA", at positions 28 to 507 of the family's 1533-position model. The record is from RNAcentral.
GAUGAACGCUGGCGGCGUGCCUAAUACAUGCGAGUCGAGCGAACGGACGAGAAGCUUGCUUCUCUGAUGUUAGCGGCGGACGGGUGAGUAACGCGUGGAUAACCUACCUAUAAGACUGGGAUAACUUCGGGAAACCGGAGCUAAUACCGGAUGAUAUUUUGAACCGCAUGGUUCAAAAGUGAAAGACGGUCUUGCUGUCACUUAUAGAUGGAUCCGCGCUGCAUUAGCUAGUUGGUAAGGUAACGGCUUACCAAGGCAACGAUGCAUAGCCGACCUGAGAGGGUGAUCGGCCACACUGGAACUGAGACACGGUCCAGACUCCUACGGGAGGCAGCAGUAGGGAAUCUUCCGCAAUGGGCGAAAGCCUGACGGAGCAACGCCGCGUGAGUGAUGAAGGUCUUCGGAUCGUAAAACUCUGUUAUUAGGGAAGAACAUAUGUGUAAGUAACUGUGCACAUCUUGACGGUACCUAAUCAGAAAGCCACGGCUAACUACGUG